AUUGAACGCUGGCGGCAUGCCUUACACAUGCAAGUCGAACGGCAGCACGGGAGCAAUCCUGGUGGCGAGUGGCGAACGGGUGAGUAAUAUAUCGGAACGUGCCCAGUCGUGGGGAUAACGUAGCGAAAGCUACGCUAAUACCGCAUACGAUCUACGGAUGAAAGCGGGGGAUCGCAAGACCUCGCGCGAUUGGAGCGGCCGAUAUCAGAUUAGGUAGUUGGUGAGGUAAAGGCUCACCAAGCCGACGAUCUGUAGCUGGUCUGAGAGGACGACCAGCCACACUGGGACUGAGACACGGCCCAGACUCCUACGGGAGGCAGCAGUGGGGAAUUUUUGGACAAUGGGCGCAAGCCUGAUCCAGCAAUGCCGCGUGCAGGAUGAAGGCCCUCGGGUUGUAAACUGCUUUUGUACGGAACGAAAGGUUUCUAUUAAUACUAGGAGCUCAUGACGGUACCGUAAGAAUAAGCACCGGCUAACUACGU
Molecule: ribosomal RNA, 482 nt
Filed under: uncultured bacterium
Lineage: Bacteria
Description: bacterial SSU rRNA
Rfam family: Bacterial small subunit ribosomal RNA
Source: RNAcentral